GGGUGCGGGCGUUAAUCGGAAUUACUGGGCGUAAAGCGUGCGCAGGCGGCUUUGCAAGACAGAGGUGAAAUCCCCGGGCUCAACCUGGGAACUGCCUUUGUGACUGCAAGGCUAGAGUACGGCAGAGGGGGAUGGAAUUCCGCGUGUAGCAGUGAAAUGCGUAGAUAUGCGGAGGAACACCGAUGGCGAAGGCAAUCCCCUGGGCCUGUACUGACGCUCAUGCACGAAAGCGUGGGGAGCAAACAGGAUUAGAUACCCUGGUAGUCAAGGGCG
Molecule: ribosomal RNA, 273 nt
Filed under: uncultured Burkholderiales bacterium
Lineage: Bacteria; Pseudomonadati; Pseudomonadota; Betaproteobacteria; Burkholderiales
Description: partial 16S ribosomal RNA
Rfam family: Bacterial small subunit ribosomal RNA
Source: RNAcentral